Molecule: ribosomal RNA, 1191 nt
Filed under: Tainosphaeria obclavata
Lineage: Eukaryota; Fungi; Ascomycota; Sordariomycetes; Chaetosphaeriales; Chaetosphaeriaceae
Description: partial large subunit ribosomal RNA
Rfam family: Eukaryotic large subunit ribosomal RNA
Source: RNAcentral
AAAUUUGAAAUCUGGCUCCGGCCCGAGUUGUAAUUUGCAGAGGAUGCUUCGGGCGCGGCGCCUUCCAAGUCCCCUGGAACGGGGCGCCAGAGAGGGUGAGAGCCCCGUCCGGUUGGCCGCCAAGCCUGUGUGAAGCUCCUUCGACGAGUCGAGUAGUUUGGGAAUGCUGCUCUAAACGGGAGGUAGACCCCUUCUAAAGCUAAAUACCGGCCAGAGACCGAUAGCGCACAAGUAGAGUGAUCGAAAGAUGAAAAGCACUUUGAAAAGAGGGUUAAACAGUACGUGAAAUUGUUGAAAGGGAAGCGCUUGUGACCAGACGUGCGGCGGGUGCUCAGCAGGCGUUCUCGCCUGUGCACUCGCCCGCCGCAGGCCAGCGUCGGUUCGCUCGGGGGGACAAAGACGCCGGGAACGUGGCUCCUCCGGGAGUGUUAUAGCCCGGCGUGUCAUGCCCCCGUCCGGACCGAGGUUCGCGCUCCGCAAGGACGCUGGCGUAAUGGUCUCCAGCGGCCCGUCUUGAAACACGGACCAAGGAGUCGAGGUUUUGCGCGAGUGUUUGGGUGUCAAACCCGCACGCGUAAUGAAAGUGAACGUAGGUGGGAGCCUCGGCGCACCACCGACCGAUCCUGAUGUUUUCGGAUGGAUUUGAGUACGAGCGCAAAGCUUCGGACCCGAAAGACGGUGAACUAUACGUGGAUAGGGUGAAGCCAGAGGAAACUCUGGUGGAGGCUCGCAGCGGUUCUGACGUGCAAAUCGAUCGUCAAAUCUGCGUAUGGGGGCGAAAGACUAAUCGAACCGUCUAGUAGCUGGUUACCGCCGAAGUUUCCCUCAGGAUAGCAGUGUUGAUCUCAGUUUUAUGAGGUAAAGCGAAUGAUUAGGGACUCGGGGGCGCUUUUUAGCCUUCAUCCAUUCUCAAACUUUAAAUAUGUAAGAAGCCCUUGUUGCUUAGUUGAACGUGGGCCUUCGAAUGCAGCAACACUAGUGGGCCAUUUUUGGUAAGCAGAACUGGCGAUGUGGGAUGAACCAUACGGGGGGUUAAGGUGCCGGAGUGGACGCUCAUCAGACACCACAAAAGGUGUUAGCACAUCUUGACAGCAGGACGGUGGCCAUGGAAGUCGGAAUCCGCUAAGGACUGUGUAACAACUCACCUGCCGAAUGUGCUAGCCCUGAAAAUGGAUGGCGCUCAAGCGUCCC